Molecule: long non-coding RNA, 526 nt
Organism: Diorhabda sublineata
Lineage: Eukaryota; Metazoa; Arthropoda; Insecta; Coleoptera; Chrysomelidae
Exons: 2
Source: RefSeq, a predicted model, not a curated record
AGUAAUUGAAAAACAGAAAUUUAUUUUUUUACUCGUGCCAUACACUAAAUCCUUAUAUUUAUUUAUUUUAAAUUGAAGAAACAACUUGAAGGGGUAUAAAUAUCACCAUAGUUAAUAAUUUUAUUCAGAAUAGUUUCGUUAGCAUCAAGUUAUUUGUCUAUUAAGUAAAAGUUUUAUAAAUAUUUUGACAAGAUGAAAUUCUUCAUUGGUUUUUUGUUUUUGGCUUUAGUAGCUGUUGCUUGUUGUCAAGAUCUAACUGCAGAUGAGGUUAUUAGCAUUAUCCAAGCGAAAAAUCCCACUCUCAACUGUAUUGGACUUCAGUGCAGACUUAGCUGCGUACAAAGUGGAAGCAGAUCUGGAUACUGUGAAAACGAUGCUUGCGUCUGUGUGCCUACUUCAUAAACAUCCAAAACUAUAUAAUCUAGUUUAGCUAAACUUCAUAAUUUGACGUAUUAAUUUAGUUUCUUUGCAUGUAAUAUUUUCUUAUGUUAUGGUAAUAUGAUAUAAUAAAUUGAUGAAGCAUUAA